Long non-coding RNA from Falco peregrinus (peregrine falcon), 3043 nucleotides. RefSeq lists it as uncharacterized. Lineage: Eukaryota; Metazoa; Chordata; Aves; Falconiformes; Falconidae. The record is from RefSeq and is a predicted model, not a curated record. The transcript is spliced from 2 exons.
ACUCUGAAAUAACAUAAUUGCUCAUGUCUUUCAGGUUAAGUGUGAGAUUGUUAUGAAAACCCAAAGACCCCGUGUGUUAAUUCUAAUAUUCUUAAAAAUGUUGAGCUUGGUAGCAGAAGUUCGAAGGAGGUGUCAUCUUGCUGACAUACUCGUAUCUGCUCACACCCUCCUGUUGCUUUUAUUUGCCUGUAGAGGUGUCCAAAAACCAGCAUCUGUUCCUCAGCUUCCAAGUGGUUGAGCAGCUCCUUAACUUUGAACGGUAUUUCUCAAGCUGAUCUGAGAGCUGCAGAGGGCUUCAUAGCUGAUUGUAAGAGGUUCUUGAAAUGUGACUAAAAUCUGAGGCUCACUCUUUGACAGUAGAUUUAGAUUUGCUACUUGAGGCUUCCCACCUUCCAGAAAUAACAGGACUUUAAAGAAGAUAGAAACCCAUUGGUACAAGGGAGCAUUCAAGGGUUCUUGAAUACUGUUCACAUGACUAUGAAUUCCUUCUAGAUAAGGAAAGAAAAACAUUGAUGUGGUGUUGGUUGCGAUGGCUAUAAAGCGUGUGUUUCUUGGCUUCUGAUUUCUUAAGAAAAGGUGCCGAUAGGUAUUAGCUGUAAGUCACACAGCUGUCAUUUUGUAGUAUAACUUUUUCUAAAAGUAAACAUGAAUGCACCUAAAAGAGGGUAGACCUUGCACUGUGUUGUAAUGAUAAAGGCCAUCUGUUACUCUUCAAUGAAAAUAAAAUUUCAGACUCCAAGGCUGCUUUCUUUUUGAAUGUGCCUGGUCCUUUCUUAUCUAGGAGCUCCUCUGGCCCAAACUGCUAACAUUAGCAGUUCAGUAAAUGCAUCCAUAGAGAAGGAGAGAAACUCCCUAAGCUUAGAGUCAGCCUAAGAACAAUAAGGGAUGAGUCUUCUAGAUCAUACCAAAAAUCUGUGUUGCCUUUACUGGGAUGCAUACUUUUGAUAGACUGGUCUUUAAUGAUCCCCAAGGCAGGGAUUUCUUGAAACACAGUUGAUGUUACUACGCCAUGAUCAGUUAUAGAAUAGAUUAAUUCUGUUUGGAAGGGACUUAGAAUGGUCAUCUAGCCCAACUGCCUGGCCCCUCCAGGGCUGACCAAAAGUUAAAGCACCUUGUCAAGGGCAUUGCCCUUGGGCCUCUUAAAUGCUGACAGGUGUGGGGCAUCGACCACCUCUCCAGGAAGCCUGUUCCAGGGUUCAAGCACCCUCUUGGUAAAGAAACGCUUCCUCACAUCCAGUCUGAACCUCCCCAUGCGCAGCUUUGAGCCAUUCCCAGGCGCCCUGUCCCUGGAUCCCAGGGAGAAGAGCUCAGCACCUCCCUCUCCAUGUCCCCUCCUCGGGAAGCUGCAGAGAGCAACGAGGUUGCCCCUCAGCCUCCCUCUCUCCAAACCAGACAAGCCCAGAGUCCUCAGCCUCUCCUCACAGGACAUGCCUUCCAGCCCUUCACCAGCUUUGCCCUUCUCUGGAGGCAUGUGAGUACCUGAACAUUCUUUUAAAAUUAUGGAGCCCAGAACUGCGCACACUGCUCAAGGUGAGGCCAUACUGACAAUAAAUACAGCUACAGAAUCACCCCUCUUGAGCCGCUGGUUCUGCUGUGUUUGGUGCACCCUAAAAUGCAGUUUGCCCUCAUUGCUGGAUCAUAUUGAGCCUGCCAUCAUCCAGCACCCCCAGGUCCCUUUCUGUAGGACUGCUCUCCACUCUGGCAUUACUCUGUCCCAGGUGCAGGAUCCAGUGUUUCUUAUUCAGUUUCAUGCCAUUGAUGAUGCCCAAUGCUCCAGUCUGUCUAGAUCCCUCUGCAGGGCCUCUUGUCCCUUGAGUCAACAGCACCUCCCAGUUUAGUAUUAUCAGAAGACUUGCUAAUGGUAAUUCAACUCCUACAUCCAGAUCACUGAUAAAAUUGCUGAACAGCACUGCCUCUAGAAUUGAGCCCUGAGGAACGCAGCUGGUGACUAGUCACCAGCCAGAUGUACCCCAGUUCAGGUCAAGCCUUUGAGCCCUGCCAUCCAGCCAGUUCUUCACCCAGUGCACCAUGAACCUGAGUAUCUCACAGCUGGACAGCAUGUCCAGAAGGAUACUGUGAGCGAUAGUAUCAAAAGCCUUACUGAAAUCCAAAAGAACUACCUCCACCACCUUCCCUUCACCCACUGGGUGGAUGGCCUUCCUGUAGGAUAUCAAAGUAGUUAAGCAGGACUUCCACUUCAUGAGCCCGUGUUCACUGUGCCUGGUGAUUGCAUUGUUCUUUAGAUGCUUUUCGGUAGCACUCAGUAUGAUCUUCUCCAUAUUUUUCCAGUCACUGAGGUUAAUCUAACAAGUGUGUAGUUUCCUGGGUCUUCCCUCAUGCCCUUCUUGUAAAUUGGAAUAAUGUUUGCUAGCUUCCAGUCAGUGGGGACCUCCCCAGACUCCUAAGACCUUUGCUAGAUGGUUGAGAAGGGUCCUGCUGCAACAUCCACUAGCUCCUUCCACACUCUGUGAUGAAUACCAUCUGGCCCUGUGCACUUAGGAACAUUCAGCGGGUACAUCUGGUCCCUUACAAUUUUAAUGUCCACAAAUGGAAAGGUCACCGCUCCUGCAGCCGUGGUCCUCUGACUUGGAGGACCAGGCAGCCCAAGGUCUAUAUUGGUACAGACUAAGGCAAAAAGAGUUGAAUGCUUCUGUCUCUUGUUCAUCCCUGUUUGUCAGGUGACUAUCUUCAACAAGUGUUGGUCUAAUGUUUUCCUUGAACCUCCUCUUACUAUUAACGUACUUCAAAAAGCCUUUCUUGUUGUUUGACAGUUGUGUUGACCAGUCAGUUUCAACCCUUGUUGAGCUUUUGCCUUUUGUGUCUUCUCCCUGCACGUGCAAACCACGACUGUAAUCUUCCUGUGAAGUAUGAACUUGCUUCCAGAGAUCAUACAAUUUCUUUUUCCUCUUGAGUUCCAAGAGGAUUCUGUGUUCAGCCAAGCCCUGCUUGCUUGACUUCUGACACAGUGGGAUUGCCUGCUGCUGUGCAAGCAAGGCUCUUAAAAGAAGAGGAAAAGAAAAAAAAAAAAAGUGGCUCUUAAAAA